CCUACGGGAGGCAGCAGUGAGGAAUAUUGGUCAAUGGCCGAGAGGCUGAACCAGCCAAGUCGCGUGAGGGAAGACGGCCCUACGGGUUGUAAACCUCUUUUGUCGGGGAGCAAAUCGAGUCACGUGUCACUCAUUGAGAGUACCCGAAGAAAAAGCAUCGGCUAACUCCGUGCCAGCAGCCGCGGUAAUACGGAGGAUGCGAGCGUUAUCCGGAUUUAUUGGGUUUAAAGGGGGUGUAGCCGGGAAGUCAAGUCAGAUGUGAAAUCCGGAGGCUCAACCUCAGAAGUGCAUUUGAAACUGUUUGUCUUGAGUACUGGAGAGGCAGACGGAAUUCCUGGUGUAGCGGUGAAAUGCGUAGAGAUAAGGAGGAACACCAGUGGCGAAGGCGGCCUGCUGGA
Molecule: ribosomal RNA, 398 nt
Filed under: uncultured bacterium
Lineage: Bacteria
Description: partial 16S ribosomal RNA
Rfam family: Bacterial small subunit ribosomal RNA
Source: RNAcentral